This 479-nucleotide ribosomal RNA is filed under the name uncultured bacterium. RNAcentral describes it as "partial 16S ribosomal RNA". It matches the Rfam family "Bacterial small subunit ribosomal RNA", at positions 28 to 507 of the family's 1533-position model. The record is from RNAcentral.
GAUGAACGCUGGCGGCGUGCUUAACACAUGCAAGUCGAGCGAGAAGUUUUGAAAAGAUUCUUCGGAUGAAAUUUAAAGUGGAAAGCGGCGGACGGGUGAGUAACGCGUAGGCAACCUGCACCAUACAAAGGGAUAGCAUUUGGAAACGAAUAUUAAUACCUUAUGAAACUUAACUAGUGCAUGCUAGGUAGGUCAAAGAUUUAUCGGUAUGGGAUGGGCCUGCGUCUGAUUAGCUAGUUGCUGAGGUAACGGCUCACCAAGGCGACGAUCAGUAGCCGAACUGGCAGGAUGACCUGCCUCCUUGUAACUGAUACACCGUCCAAACUCCUACGGGAGUCAGCAGUGGCGUAUAUUGCACCAUCGGGGAGACCGUGAUUCAGCCACGCCGCUUGAACGAUGAUGACCUUUGGGUCGUAAAGUUCUGUUCUAGGUCGUGCAAACUGACAGUAACUUAUGAGAAAGCCCCGGCUAACUCCGUG